GCUGGCGGCGUGCUUAACACAUGCAAGUCGUACGAGAACUCUUCUGCUUGCAGAAGAUAGUAAAGUGGCGCACGGGUGAGUAACGCGUGGGUAAUCUACCUCCGAAUCGGGGAUAACCCGCCGAAAGGCGAGCUAAUACCGGAUAAUAUCUUUAAAACUUAGGUUUUUAAGAUCAAAGGUGGUCUCUACAUGUAAGCUACUGUUUGGAGAUGAGCCCGCGUACCAUUAGCUUGUUGGUAGGGUAAUGGCNNACCAAGGCCGCGAUGGUUAGCUGGUCUGAGAGGAUGAUCAGCCACACUGGAACUGACACACGGUCCAGACUCCUACGGGAGGCAGCAGUGAGGAAUUUUGCGCAAUGGGGGAAACCCUGACGCAGCAACGCCGCGUGAGUGAUGAAGGCUUUCGGGUCGUAAAGCUCUGUCAAGUGGGA
RNAcentral lists this ribosomal RNA (430 nucleotides) under uncultured delta proteobacterium. RNAcentral's name for it is "bacterial SSU rRNA". It matches the Rfam family "Bacterial small subunit ribosomal RNA", at positions 35 to 445 of the family's 1533-position model. The record is from RNAcentral. Lineage: Bacteria; Deltaproteobacteria.